This 440-nucleotide ribosomal RNA is filed under the name uncultured bacterium. RNAcentral's name for it is "partial 16S ribosomal RNA". It matches the Rfam family "Bacterial small subunit ribosomal RNA", at positions 338 to 795 of the family's 1533-position model. The record is from RNAcentral.
CCUACGGGUGGCAGCAGUGGGGAAUAUUGCACAAUGGGGGAAACCCUGAUGCAGCGACGCCGCGUGAGUGAAGAAGUAUCUCGGUACGUAAAGCUCUAUCAGCAGGGAAGAAAAUGACGGUAACUGACUCAGAAGCCCCGGCUAACUCCGUGCCAGCAGCCGCGGUAAUACGUAGGGGGCAAGCGUUAUCCGGAUUUACUGGUUGUAAAGGGAGCGUAGACGGCAGCACAAGUCUGGAGGGAAAUCACGGGGCGUAACCCCGGAACUGCUUUGGAAACUGUGCGGCUGGAGUGCAGGAGGGGUGAGCGGAAUUCCGAGGGUAGCGGUGAAAUGCGGAGAUAUUAGGAGGAACACCGGGGGCGAAGGCGGCUUACUGGACUGUAACUGACGUUGAGGCUCGAAAGCGUGGGGAGCAAACAGGAUUAGAUACCCGAGUAGUC